GACGAACGCUGGCGGCGUGCUUAACACAUGCAAGUCGAACGAUGAUCUCCCGCUUGCGGGGGUGAUUAGUGGCGAACGGGUGAGUAAUACGUGAGUAACCUGCCCUUGACUCUGGGAUAAGCCUGGGAAACCGGGUCUAAUACUGGAUACUACUUCCUGCCGCAUGGUGGGGGGUGGAAAGGGUUUUACUGGUUUUGGAUGGGCUCACGGCCUAUCAGCUUGUUGGUGGAGUAAUGGCUCACCAAGGCGACGACGGGUAGCCGGCCUGAGAGGGUGACCGGCCACACUGGGACUGAGACACGGCCCAGACGCCUACGGGAGGCAGCAGGGGGGAAUAUUGCACAAUGGGCGGAAGCCGGAUGCAGCGACGCCGCGUGAGGGAGGACGGCCUUCGGGUUGGAAACCUCUUUCAGCAGGGAAGAAGCCACAAGUGACGGUACCUGCAGAAGAAGCGCCGGCUAACUACGUG
Molecule: ribosomal RNA, 469 nt
Filed under: uncultured bacterium
Lineage: Bacteria
Description: partial 16S ribosomal RNA
Rfam family: Bacterial small subunit ribosomal RNA
Source: RNAcentral